UUCAAACAGGAGUUAUUCGUUGGACAGUUACCCUAAAUUAAAUAACAAGGCAAGCUAGCGAAAAUGUUCCUGUCGCUGCUUGCCGGUCCCGGUGGGCAGUAAUUUCAC
RNAcentral lists this non-coding RNA (108 nucleotides) under Citrobacter europaeus. RNAcentral describes it as "Salmonella mgtC leader RNA". It matches the Rfam family "Salmonella mgtC leader RNA". The record is from RNAcentral. Lineage: Bacteria; Pseudomonadati; Pseudomonadota; Gammaproteobacteria; Enterobacterales; Enterobacteriaceae.